RNAcentral lists this ribosomal RNA (253 nucleotides) under uncultured bacterium. Its description in RNAcentral is "partial 16S ribosomal RNA". It matches the Rfam family "Bacterial small subunit ribosomal RNA", at positions 524 to 776 of the family's 1533-position model. The record is from RNAcentral.
UACGUAGGGGGCAAGCGUUGUCCGGAAUCAUUGGGCGUAAAGCGCGUGUAGGCGGCUCGGUAAGUCUGCUCUGAAAGUCCAAGGCUCAACCUUGGGAUGCGGGUGGAUACUGCCGGGCUCGAGUCCGGAAGAGGCGAGUGGAAUUCCUGGUGUAGCGGUGAAAUGCGCAGAUAUCAGGAGGAACACCGAUGGCGAAGGCAGGUCUCUGGGCAUUAACUGACGCUGAGGAGCGGAAGCAUGGGGAGCGAACAGG